Fukomys damarensis (Damara mole-rat) is the source of this 1953-nucleotide long non-coding RNA. RefSeq lists it as uncharacterized. NCBI's taxonomy places the organism in Eukaryota, Metazoa, Chordata, Mammalia, Rodentia, Bathyergidae. The record is from RefSeq and is a predicted model, not a curated record. The transcript has 3 exons.
AAUGCUCGAAUUCCAAGCAUGUGCCACCACGCCCAGUAGUUUUGAUUCACAUAUAGGAACUGUCCGAGCUUGUGUACCGUUGGUUGUAUAAAUACCAUGCGGUUCCCACGCUGUGGACAGUGCUGGGGAUGGCACAGGGCCUCCUGAACUUGGAAUUGUCCCUGCUGAGCUGCUACCCCAGCUCCAGUGCCAGGUUUCAGUCCAGGUGGACAUUGUGUUCCGACCCAGUCAGGGUAGUUAGCAUCUGUCGCCUUUGGUGCCAUGCACGAUCCUGCAGCUCUUUAGAAAUCCAGUCCUCAGUGCUGGCUGUGAUCACCCUGCACUCGUUCCUCCUGAGCAGUUUCACACCCAUGGGCAGCUUCUCCCCUCCUGUCUAGCCUCUGGUACCCAUUUGUCCACUCUCAACUUCUCUGAGACCUGCUUUUCAGACUCCACUUGUGCGUGUAUCUGGUUUAAUGACCUCAGUUCCCUCCGUGAUGCCACAAAUGCCAGGAUGCCAUCCCUCUUCACAGCUGCAUAUUAUUCCACAAUGAGCAUGUACCACGUUUUCCUAGCCUUUCAUUGGCCUAUGGACACCUAUGUUAAUUUUAUCUCACCCAACAGCGCGGGCUUUGAGGCUGAGUGGUGGUUCUGCUUUCUGAACUCUAUGUCCUUGGCUCUGGUUACAGAGUCACUGAGACUUCUCUGUGGGGAAUGAACACACUCCUGCCCCUGCGAGGGGCUUUCCAGGCUCCCCGAAGUCUGGGCCACUGCCGGGCCUCGGUGACUGUCUGGUUUUCCCCUGGUGUCCUAGAAAAUGCUCACCUCAGCAGCUCAGUGUCCCAUUGGACAGGAUGCUGGGCUGGUGAGGCUGCAGGACCCUGACAUCCACUGUGUCCCCAAGGGGGUGGGACCUUCCCAUGCCUUUGAUGUGCAGCCCCUCCCCUGACAGCCGAUGGGGGCUGGGGAGGGGGCUCCAGCCCUUCCCACCUCCCUAACGGAAGCCAUGGUUUCCAGCAGGGAGGGAAGCAGCUGAGGCAGGCGGGUUUUGCAGAGCGAGCGAUUUCUCUUAACUUCCUGACAUGGGAAGGGAAUGGGGACAUGGGGGAGCAUGAGGCCUCGAAGCGGUGCAGGGGAGGGCAGAAGCCACACCUGGCCCUGAAGAAUCCCUGCAAGGCGACGGUCACAGAGUGCAGCUGGCUUGGACCUGGCCUCGGCCGCCUUGCUCUGCAGCUGCAGCUCCUGGGCCCCUCCCAGGAGAAUCGGGGGAUCCUUGCUGCAGGCCUGUGUCCCCAUCCUUGGUCUUUGUGUCCCUGUGGCCCCCAGCCCUGUCCAGCAGGUGGUGGUGGUGGUCUGGCACAGGCUGGCACUGCAGGGAGGCAGAGGAGCAAAGAAAGGUCUGUGCCUGGCCCUGAGAUGGUAGACUGCUGCCCAUUCUGCGGUGCCUGCAGCUGACCAUGAGGGAAGGCUGGGUUUGGGUCCCUAUUAGGGUUUGAUCUUGCUGCCCCCAGAGCCUCCUGUGCUCGAGCAUUAGAGGGUGCCAGGCAGAACUGCUCUUAGGAGGCCUGAUUGGAGGAGGCCGUCCUGGGCCGGGCCUGAAGGAGCUGUCUCUCGGCGCCUCACUUCUGCUUCCUGUUCGCCCUGAGACCCAGGGAAGGGUCUCAGCUUUCUUCAUGUGCACUCCGAAUUGACCAGACCUCCUGAACGGCACCGGUCUCCCCCACCUCCUCUUCCAUGGACCUGUCUCCCUUGUGGACCCCAACAUUUCCAGGGCCCUCGCCCUCCAGCCCAGCGCUAAUUGCUGCGAUGGCCUCCAGGAGUCCUGUAGAACCAGCAGCCUUGCCACUGCUGCCCUGGGCUCCUGACAAUUAAAUGCAAUUUAGAUUCCUGCACUGAGCCCGCUCCAAGGCCCCUCCCCGCCCUGCGGGAGGAAAGAAGCCGUUUCAGGUGAAGACAAGGCUGUCUGACUGGCCU